RNAcentral lists this ribosomal RNA (637 nucleotides) under Phlegmacium balteatibulbosum. RNAcentral's name for it is "eukaryotic LSU rRNA". The stretch from base 197 to 350 matches the Rfam family "5.8S ribosomal RNA". Lineage: Eukaryota; Fungi; Basidiomycota; Agaricomycetes; Agaricales; Cortinariaceae. The record is from RNAcentral.
AUGUGCACGCUUGUCACCUUUAUAUUUCCACCUGUGCACCUUUUGUAGACCUGGAUAUCUAUCUGGAUGCUAGCCAUUCGGGAUUGAGGAUUGACUUCAUGUCUUUUCCUUACAUUUCCAGGCCUAUGUUUCUUCAUAUACCCCAAUGUAUGUCAUAGAAUGUAAUCAAAUGGCCUCUGUGCCUAUAAACCUAUACAACUUUCAGCAACGGAUCUCUUGGCUCUCGCAUCGAUGAAGAACGCAGCGAAAUGCGAUAAGUAAUGUGAAUUGCAGAAUUCAGUGAAUCAUCGAAUCUUUGAACGCACCUUGCGCUCCUUGGUAUUCCGAGGAGCAUGCCUGUUUGAGUGUCAUUAAUAUAUAUCAACCUCUUCAGCUUUUGCUUGUCGAGUGUUGGAUGUGGGGGUCUUUUUUUUNGCUGGUCUUCUCAGGUCAGCUCCCCUGAAAUGCAUUAGCGGAACAAUUUGUGGACCGUUCAUUGGUGUGAUAACUAUCUACGCUAUUGACGUGAAGCAGUUCGGCUUCAAACAGUCCAUUGACUUGGACAAAUUUUCAUUAGUGUGACCUCAAAUCAGGUAGGACUACCCGCUGAACUUAAGCAUAUCAAUAAGCGGAGGAAAAGAAACUAACAAGGAUUCCC